GCCCGGUUAGCUCAGAUGGUAGAGCAUCAGACUUUUAAUCUGAGGGUCAUGGGUUCGAGCCCGAUACCGGGCG
RNAcentral lists this transfer RNA (73 nucleotides) under Nematostella vectensis (starlet sea anemone). Its description in RNAcentral is "tRNA-Lys". It matches the Rfam family "tRNA". Rfam says of the family: Transfer RNA (tRNA) molecules are approximately 80 nucleotides in length. Their secondary structure includes four short double-helical elements and three loops (D, anti-codon, and T loops). Lineage: Eukaryota; Metazoa; Cnidaria; Anthozoa; Actiniaria; Edwardsiidae. The record is from Rfam by way of RNAcentral.